GACGAACGCUGGCGGCGUGCCUAAUACAUGCAAGUAGAACGCUGAAGGAGGAGCUUGCUUCUCCGGAUGAGUUGCGAACGGGUGAGUAACGCGUAGGUAACCUGCCUGGUAGCGGGGGAUAACUAUUGGAAACGAUAGCUAAUACCGCAUAAGAGUAGAUAUUGCAUGAUAUCUGCUUAAAAGGUGCAAUUGCAUCACUACCAGAUGGACCUGCGUUGUAUUAGCUAGUUGGUGGGGUAACGGCUCACCAAGGCGACGAUACAUAGCCGACCUGAGAGGGUGAUCGGCCACACUGGGACUGAGACACGGCCCAGACUCCUACGGGAGGCAGCAGUAGGGAAUCUUCGGCAAUGGACGGAAGUCUGACCGAGCAACGCCGCGUGAGUGAAGAAGGUUUUCGGAUCGUAAAGCUCUGUUGUAAGAGAAGAACGAGUGUGAGAGUGGAAAGUUCACACUGUGACGGUAUCU
This 468-nucleotide ribosomal RNA is filed under the name Streptococcus mitis. RNAcentral's name for it is "bacterial SSU rRNA". It matches the Rfam family "Bacterial small subunit ribosomal RNA", at positions 28 to 480 of the family's 1533-position model. Lineage: Bacteria; Bacillati; Bacillota; Bacilli; Lactobacillales; Streptococcaceae. The record is from RNAcentral.